This 250-nucleotide ribosomal RNA is filed under the name uncultured prokaryote. RNAcentral describes it as "partial 16S ribosomal RNA". It matches the Rfam family "Bacterial small subunit ribosomal RNA", at positions 524 to 774 of the family's 1533-position model. The record is from RNAcentral.
UACGUAGGUGGCAAGCGUUGUCCGGAAUGACUGGGUGUAAAGGGAGCGUAGGCGGGUAAUCAAGUCAGGCGUUAAAUCUAUCGGCUCAACCGGUAGCCGCGCUUGAAACUGAAUAUCUUGAGUGGAGUAGAGGCAGGCGGAAUUCCUAGUGUAGCGGUGAAAUGCGUAGAUAUUAGGAGGAACACCAGUGGCGAAGGCGGCCUGCUGGGCUUUUACUGACGCUGAGGCUCGAAAGCAUGGGUAGCAAACA